CAGUCGCCGCGGGAAUACGUAGGGUGCAAGCGUUAAUCGGAAUUACUGGGCGUAAAGCGUGCGCAGGCGGUGUUGUAAGACUGAUGUGAAAUCCCCGGGCUCAACCUGGGAACUGCAUUGGUGACUGCAACGCUGGAGUGCGGCAGAGGGGGAUGGAAUUCCGCGUGUAGCAGUGAAAUGCGUAGAUAUGCGGAGGAACACCGAUAGCGAAGGCAAUCCCCUGGGCCUGCACUGACGCUCAUGCACGAAAGCGUGGGGAGCAAACAGGAUUAGAUACCCGCGUAGUCUCUGUCUCUUAUAC
RNAcentral lists this ribosomal RNA (301 nucleotides) under uncultured bacterium. RNAcentral describes it as "partial 16S ribosomal RNA". It matches the Rfam family "Bacterial small subunit ribosomal RNA", at positions 509 to 807 of the family's 1533-position model. The record is from RNAcentral.